GGGGAUUUAGCUCAGCGGUAGAGCGCUUGCCUAUGCGCAAGACCCUGGGUUCGGUCCCCAGCUCCG
RNAcentral lists this transfer RNA (66 nucleotides) under Rattus norvegicus (Norway rat). It matches the Rfam family "tRNA". From Rfam's summary of the family: Transfer RNA (tRNA) molecules are approximately 80 nucleotides in length. Their secondary structure includes four short double-helical elements and three loops (D, anti-codon, and T loops). Further hydrogen bonds mediate the characteristic L-shaped molecular structure. tRNAs have two regions of fundamental functional importance: the anti-codon, which is responsible for specific mRNA codon recognition, and the 3' end, to which the tRNAs corresponding amino acid is attached (by aminoacyl-tRNA synthetases). tRNAs cope with the degeneracy of the genetic code in two manners: having more than one tRNA (with a specific anti-codon) for a particular amino acid; and 'wobble' base-pairing, i.e. permitting non-standard base-pairing at the 3rd anti-codon position. Lineage: Eukaryota; Metazoa; Chordata; Mammalia; Rodentia; Muridae. The record is from Rfam by way of RNAcentral.